UGCAUGGCUGUCGUCAGCUCGUGUCGUGAGAUGUUGGGUUAAGUCCCGCAACGAGCGCAACCCUUGUCCUGUGUUGCCAGCACGUGAUGGUGGGGACUCGCAGGAGACUGCCGGGGUCAACUCGGAGGAAGGUGGGGACGACGUCAAGUCAUCAUGCCCCUUAUGUCCAGGGCUUCACACAUGCUACAAUGGUCGGUACAGAGGGCUGCGAUACCGUGAGGUGGAGCGAAUCCCUUAAAGCCGGUCUCAGUUCGGAUCGGGGUCUGCAACUCGACCCCGUGAAGUCGGAGUCGCUAGUAAUCGCAGAUCAGCAACGCUGCGGUGAAUACGUUCCCGGGUCUUGUACACACCGA
RNAcentral lists this ribosomal RNA (353 nucleotides) under Rhodococcus sp. enrichment culture clone R. Its description in RNAcentral is "bacterial SSU rRNA". It matches the Rfam family "Bacterial small subunit ribosomal RNA", at positions 1042 to 1393 of the family's 1533-position model. Lineage: Bacteria; Bacillati; Actinomycetota; Actinomycetes; Mycobacteriales; Nocardiaceae. The record is from RNAcentral.